This 253-nucleotide ribosomal RNA is filed under the name uncultured bacterium. RNAcentral's name for it is "partial 16S ribosomal RNA". It matches the Rfam family "Bacterial small subunit ribosomal RNA", at positions 524 to 776 of the family's 1533-position model. The record is from RNAcentral.
UACGUAGGGACCGAGCGUUGUCCGGAUUCAUUGGGCGUAAAGAGCUCGUAGGCGGCCACUCAAGUCGAAUGUGAAACCUCGAGGCUUAACCUCGAGCCUGCAUUCGAUACUGGGCGGCUAGAGUAUGGCAGGGGAGACUGGAAUUCCUGGUGUAGCGGUGAAAUGCGCAGAUAUCAGGAGGAACACCGGUGGCGAAGGCGGGUCUCUGGGCCAAAACUGACGCUGAGGAGCGAAAGCGUGGGGAGCGAACAGG